RNAcentral lists this long non-coding RNA (1439 nucleotides) under Malus domestica (apple). RNAcentral's name for it is "long non-coding RNA (MDOM_LNC012536)". Lineage: Eukaryota; Viridiplantae; Streptophyta; Magnoliopsida; Rosales; Rosaceae. The record is from RNAcentral.
UUCCAUGAAUUUAUUCUCACCUGAAUUACUUAUUCUAUUAUAUCUUGGCAUGGCAUACUUAGGGUUAUGAAUAUGUGAAGUAUGAUUUGAAUUGAGAUAUUGACAUAUAUAUUUAUGCAUAUGUUUAUAUUCUAUUUCUGGGAAAAUUAUACAUGUUUAACGACGAAGGGUUAGAACUUUUAAGGAAUGAAAUGGUUUUGUAUAACAUUUAUUUUUUCCCACUCACGUUUUCUAUUUUGCGCCCCUCCAGGUUUUAGGUAAGCUUGUUGUUGGUGGUGUACUAGGAUUUCGGCGGAUCUGACAUAAUUAAAUAUUUGUAGGACAUCUUCUGGUAAUGUAUAAUUAGUACUUGUCCUACUAGAUUGCACCUAGACUUUCUAUGCUCUGAUUCGGAGUAUUUACUUUUGUAUCUCACUCCUAACACUUCCUGCCUAUUAGUGCACCUUAAUAGCUUUCAAUGUUUAUUUAUUCAUAUAACUCUUAUCUUUAUCGCUUCUGCACUGUGCACAUGACUACAUCAUCCUCACGUGACGGCCAAUAUGCCUCGAUCCCGGUUGGGGUGUGUCACGAUGCGUAUUCUACGAAACUUUUAUCAACGAUGCAACUAUCAAACUUGUUUGUACACACUUCGAGAUCACAUACGUAAAAAAUCGUAAAAACAUACAUUCAGAGAUUAUGUAACAGAAAAAAAAUUUCGACGGUUCUAAACAAAAAAUCACAAUUUAACGGUUAUUUUAGCUCCAAUUUGAUGAUUUUUUAUAGCUACACUCCUCGACUACCUGUAAAAAUAUAAUUAAUGAAUUCGAUCUUCAAUUUAAAAUAUUGCACUAGUGGAUACUACAAAAUCUUAUGUUGUACUUAUUGGCCUCGAGAAUAAACAAUUACUUCUGACCAUUUAAACACGCCCUUGAAAAAAAUAUAACUAUAGUAAAACAAAUUAAAAAAAAAUCAAAGAUUAUCAAAAUUAUGCUUAUCUAAUUGUGAUUAUUCAUUAAAUUCAAGUUUUGUACAACUUCAUACCAAUUAUAGCGACAAAAUAUAUUAAUUUAACAUAAAUAAAUAUUUAUGUUAUAUUUAAUAUUAACUAGUUUUGUACUUCGUCAAGUUUUGUACAGCUUCCCUUGAAUGUGAUUAACAAAACCGAAAUAUUUAAAAAAUAUUUAAAAAUAAUAUAAUACAAUCCGAGAAAGGUAGUAUAAAAAAUUUGAAACUAUUUGUGUCGGAUAUAAACGCUAGAGUUAGUAUAAAAAAUUUGAAAAUAUUUGUGGCGGACAUAAGGGCCAGAAUUAGUAUAAAAAUUUAAAAUAAUAUAAUAUAAUCUGACAUAUUAUUAACUUAUGUCGGAUAUAUCCACUAGAAUUGGUUAAAAUUAUUUAAAAAAUAAAUCCGAUGAAGCUAAAGGCCUACUUCAUUAUUCUUGUCGGCUAUAUCCGACAGUA